This 200-nucleotide long non-coding RNA is filed under the name Anas platyrhynchos platyrhynchos (common mallard). RNAcentral describes it as "lncRNA (ENSAPLG00000027072.1)". Lineage: Eukaryota; Metazoa; Chordata; Aves; Anseriformes; Anatidae. The record is from RNAcentral.
UCCCCUUGCACUGUUCCCUCCCCCAGUUUCUUUCCCUCCACCGCCCACUCCAGAAAGGAGCCUGAGGAGGAGGUGACUGUUCCACGCCAUUGAGGCAACCAUGAGAGAUAAAUAUUCCCCAACAUGUAUCUGCUCUUCAGAUGAGCAUAGUUGACAGCAGUACUGCAGCACAAAGAAAAAAGCUUCAAGAUAUCAAUUAA